This is a non-coding RNA of Ameiurus melas (black bullhead), 66 nucleotides long. The record is from the annotation of a GenBank genome assembly. NCBI's taxonomy places the organism in Eukaryota, Metazoa, Chordata, Actinopteri, Siluriformes, Ictaluridae.
GGCAGUGGUGGCUUAGUGGUUAAGGCUCUGGAUUACUGAUCAGGAGUUCAAACCCCAGCACUGCCA